CAAAAUAAACCCGCUUCUCCCAUGCCCUAAAAAAAAUUAACAAUCCCCUCCUCUUCCCCGAUUACGCCACCGCCUAUUCCCCUCCCCGAUGCACGUCGCAGCCGGCCAUACCCCUCCUUCGAUGGAACGCCAUUCGCCACCACACCACUGUUGUUCUCCCGACGCCACUGCUCUCAUCCUCGCGACGCACGCCGGGGGCCAUUUGCCUCCCCUCUGCACGGACCACCGUUCGCCACCACUGUCGUUCGCGACCUCUGACGGACCACCGUUCGCCGCCUCUCACGGACCGCUCGUCUCCUCUCGCCCACACCACGCCGCUCAAAGUCAUCGACCUUCCAUUGAUCAUCUCCGUUCAUCACCGACCUCUGUGGUCUGUUCGGACUUUCCAUUCACCAGCCAUCACCAUCUUUUCAAGGCGUCGUCGUCAUCCCAACAGCACUUCUUCCAUCGCCAUCGUCGUCAUCGGUUUUCAUCUUCUUCUGAGGUCUUCAUCUUCUUCCUUCAUCGCCGUUGCCAGUCUUCCCAUUUUUGCUCAUUACUGUUGCCGUCGCCAGUCUUCCCGUCUUUGCUUACCACCGCCACCGUCGUCGCCAUCGUUCUCGUCGCCAUCCCUAUUGCUGGUUCAGGUAUUCUCAUGGUACCAGGAUUGUCUAAGAAAAAAAAAAAACCAGCAGCCAUCGAACCAAAUCCACCACAUUCCACUCAGCAGCCAGCGAUCCAGGGAAUGGCCUUGCCGUCACAGUUAUGAUUAAGGUACCAUCAGCUUCUUCAGAGUCGUGAUACUGUGACUAUACCACCUUCCUCUCAAUCACCAUCAGCUCAUAUUCCACCAGCUUCUCUGGAUUCGGCACCAUCAGAAGUCACACCUUUAGCUCCAUCUCUGGCUAAUGUUGCACCCCCUCUAUUUAGGUAUCAGCAGCUUCUUCAAAGUCAUGGUAUCGUGGCUCCACCAUUUUUCUCAGUUACCAUCAGCCCACGUUCCAUCAGCUUCUCUAGAUCCAAUACCAGUAAAAGUCGCACCUCCUGCUCCACCACCUUCCUCUUAAUCGUCACGAGUCCAUACACCACAUACCGAGCCAGAGCCUAUUGAGCACACACAUCUUACCAUGGAUUUGACUCCUGAUGUCAGCUCUAUAGGGUCCACGAGCAUGAGUGGACGAAAGAAAAGAGGUUGUACCAGAGGAAUUGGGUUAAGUAAGAUAAACAAGGCCCUUGAUAAGAAAAUGAAGAUCAACAUCUCAACAAAAGAAGGACGAUCCACUAAUGCUAUUCAAUCUGCGAAGCUAUCAAAUGAGCUUGGUAUGAUAGCUCGAAAUAUCUUACCUAUCAAGCCUAGAUGGAUCAAAUUAACAGAGGUGGAGAUGCAGAUUGCAUUUGACAAACUAGAGGUAAGUAGAAAUCAUUAUAGUUGCAUUUGUAUUCUAUGCAUAUUUGUUAACUAGUAUUUAAUAUUUGUUUACAGCAAAAAUUAGAUGUCAAGGGUUUAAGGACGGAUGAGAAAGUUUGUGCUAGCAUCAAGAAGCUUCUUUCAUUGAAGUCAAAGAAUCAAAGAUAUCGGCUACAUAUGCAUUACCUUAACCAUAGAAAAGACUCAAAGUCAAGUACUAUGACCACAGCAGAGUGGAUAGAUCUUUGUACUUAUUGGAGCAAAGAAAAGACAUAGAUCAGUAUAACUUGCAUUAUGUUUGCAUAUGAGUAUCUUCUUUAAAGAAUCUACUUUAGGUUGACUGGCAUAAAAUUUUUUAUCUUUUCAGCUAAUAUGUGACCAUAACAAAAAAUUCAAAAGUUUUGUCAAGUGCCAAGCAAACAUCAGGUCAAAAGUUUUUGUACCUAUACGGCAUGAGAUUGUGAGAUAUCAUAUUUUGAUUAUGACUAAUAAUAUCAUUUGACAUUUAAAUUUCUUGCAAUAGUAACUCAUCUUUUAAAUUGAGUGAGAAUGAAUUGAAUGGAGAAGAGUACGAUUAAAUUAUGUUAUGGUAUCGUACUUAUUACACCUCAGGCCAUGGUGAUACUCCAGGUAGAUGGACAACUCUCGAGUGUGAGGCAAAAUGGAUGAGGACACUAUACAAAAAUAAAAUUAUGAUUAUUGUUUUAAGCGAGCUUAGUUUUUAUUUUGUAAUUAAUUCUUUUCGAAUUUUGUUAGAUUGAAAUGAUGUAGGUGCUAGAGCAAUCCAUAUCCGAUGGACAUCCUAUGACAGCAGACCAGAUAUGCGAUAAAGUUUUAGGGACUAGAUCAGAUUAUGUCUAUGGUUUGAAAGUUAGACCUCAUCUAGAAGGAAAGAGUUCCUCUUUUAUGUCUAAGAAGAGACUUCAAAAAGAGUUGGAGCAGUCACAAAAGCAUAACGAAGAGAUGAAGAAUGAGAUUGUAGAUAUUAAGGCACAGAUGGAGCGUCAACAAAAGAUUUUGAAAACUUUAUGUACAUCACAAAAUAUCUCUUUAUCAGAUUUAUGAUGUAAGUUACUUAAGUUAUUUUUUUAAUGUAUCCCUAACUUCUUUUUAUAAGCAUAAUGAAAUAAUAUAUGUAUUUUGUUACUAUAAUAUAUAGGCAAUUAAUUGAUUAUGUUUUUCUUUUUGACGAGAUCCCAUGACUCAAGAACUUG
Molecule: non-coding RNA, 2601 nt
Organism: Elaeis guineensis (African oil palm)
Lineage: Eukaryota; Viridiplantae; Streptophyta; Magnoliopsida; Arecales; Arecaceae
Source: RefSeq, a predicted model, not a curated record